RNAcentral lists this small nuclear RNA (301 nucleotides) under Sus scrofa (pig). RNAcentral's name for it is "7SK RNA". It matches the Rfam family "7SK RNA". From Rfam's summary of the family: 7SK was discovered as an abundant small nuclear RNA in the mid-70s but a possible function has only recently been suggested. Two independent studies have found that 7SK RNA binds the CDK9/cyclin T complex (known as elongation factor P-TEFb). The record is from Rfam by way of RNAcentral. Lineage: Eukaryota; Metazoa; Chordata; Mammalia; Artiodactyla; Suidae.
GGGCGAUCUGGCUGUGACAUCUGUCACCCCAUUGAUCGCCAGGGUUGAUUCGGCUGAUCUGGCUGGCUAGGCGGGUGUCCCCUUCCUCACUGCUCCAUGUGCGUCCCUCCUGAAGCUGCGCGCUCGGUCGAAGAGGACGACCAUCCCCGAUAGAGGAGGACCGUUCUUUGGUCAAGGGUAUACGAGUAGCUGCACUCCCCUGCUAGAACCUCCAAACAAGCUCUCAAGGUCCAAUUUUCUAAAAUCUUUCCAUGACCUCUGCAUUUCCCCCCACUUCUCAGCAAGUUGAAUGUGAAUGAUU